RNAcentral lists this ribosomal RNA (1435 nucleotides) under uncultured marine bacterium. RNAcentral's name for it is "bacterial SSU rRNA". It matches the Rfam family "Bacterial small subunit ribosomal RNA". The record is from RNAcentral.
GAGUUUGAUCCUGGCUCAGAACGUACGCUGGCGGCACGCCUAACACAUGCAAGUCGAACGAAGUAGCAAUACUUAGUGGCAGACGGGUGAGUAACAUGUAGGUAUCUGCCCUUUGGCCUGGAAUGACACGAGGAAACUUGUGCUAAUACCGGAUAAGUCUUUACGGAGAAAGCUUUAUGCACCAUUGGAUGAGCCUGCACUUGAUUAGUUUGUUGGUGGGGUAAUGGCCUACCAAGACUGUGAUCAAUAGCUGAUUUGAGAGGAUGAUCAGCCACAUUGGGACUGAGACACGGCCCAAACUCCUACGGGAGGCAGCAGUGGGGAAUCUUGCACAAUGGAGGAAACUCUGAUGCAGCGAUGCCGCGUGAGUGAAGAAGGCCCUUGGGUUGUAAAGCUCUUUCGUCGGGGAAGAAAAUGACUGUACCCGAAUAAGAAGGUCCGGCUAACUUCGUGCCAGCAGCCGCGGUAAUACGAAGGGACCUAGCGUAGUUCGGAAUUACUGGGCUUAAAGAGUUCGUAGGUGGUUGAAAAAGUUAGUGGUGAAAUCCCAGAGCUUAACUCUGGAACUGCCAUUAAAACUUUUCAGCUAGAGUAUGAUAGAGGAAAGCAGAAUUUCUAGUGUAGAGGUGAAAUUCGUAGAUAUUAGAAAGAAUACCAAUUGCGAAGGCAGCUUUCUGGAUCAUUACUGACACUGAGGAACGAAAGCAUGGGUAGCGAAGAGGAUUAGAUACCCUCGUAGUCCAUGCCGUAAACGAUGUGUGUUAGACGUUGGAAAUUUAUUUUCAGUGUCGCAGGGAAACCGAUAAACACACCGCCUGGGGAGUACGACCGCAAGGUUAAAACUCAAAUGAAUUGACGGGGACCCGCACAAGUAGUGGAGCAUGUGGUUUAAUUCGAAGAUACGCGCAGAACCUUACCAACACUUGACAUGUUCGUCGCGACUCUAAGAGAUUAGAGUUUUCGGUUCGGCCGGACGAAACACAGGUGCUGCAUGGCUGUCGUCAGCUCGUGUCGUGAGAUGUUGGGUUAAGUCCCGCAACGAGCGCAACCCUCACUUUUAGUUGCCAUCAUUAAGUUGGGCACUCUGAAAGAACUGCCAGUGAUAAGCUGGAGGAAGGUGGGGAUGACGUCAAGUCCUCAUGGCCCUUACGUGUUGGGCUACACACGUGCUACAAUGGUAUCUACAACAGGAAGCAAGACUGCGAAGUUAAGCAAAUCCCUAAAAGAUACCUCAGUUCGGAUUGCACUCUGCAACUCGAGUGCAUGAAGCUGGAAUUACUAGUAAUCGUGGAUCAGCGUGCCACGGUGAAUGCGUUCCCGGGUCUUGUACACACCGCCCGUCACACCAUGGGAGUUGGUUCUACCUUAAGGCAAGGUUUUAAACCCUUGACCACGGUAUAGUCAGCGACUGGGGUGAAGUCGUAACAAGGUAACC